This 727-nucleotide long non-coding RNA is filed under the name Mus pahari (shrew mouse). Its description in RNAcentral is "lncRNA (MGP_PahariEiJ_G0004523.1)". Lineage: Eukaryota; Metazoa; Chordata; Mammalia; Rodentia; Muridae. The record is from RNAcentral.
UGCCCAAGGAGCUCCCCCAGCCUGAUACCUGCCCCCUCUGUGUCUGAAUGCUUGUUAUUCAUCUGCUGCAGAAGACGGGAGAUGCACACAGUAGACAUGGGGAACUUAAUGUUUUAGAUGAUAUUUUGACUGAAGUACCAGAACAGGAUGAUGAACUGUAUAAUCCAGAGAGUGAACAAGAUAAAAAUGAGAAAAAAGGAUCAAAAAGAAAAAGUGAGAGAAUGGAGUCUACUGACACCAAGCGACCAAAACCUUCCAUCCAUUCAAGACAGUUGAUUUCUAAGCCACUAAGCUCAUCUGUUAGCAAUAAUAAAAGAAUAGUUAGUACAAAAGGAAAGUCGGUUACAGAAUACAAAAAUGAGGAAUAUCAAAGAUCUGAAAGGAAUAAGCGUCUAGAUGCUGAUCGAAAAAUUCGUCUGUCAAGCAGUUCCUCUAGAGAACCUUACAAGAGUCAACCAGAAAAAACUUGUCUACGGAAAAGGGAUUCUGAAAGAAGGGCCAAGUCUCCUACACCAGAUGGUUCUGAGAGAAUUGGGCUUGAAGUUGAUAGACGUGCAAGCAGAUCCAGCCAGUCUUCAAAGGAAGAGGUGAACUCUGAAGAAUAUGGCUCUGACCAUGAGACAGGAAGCAGUGGUUCUUCUGAUCAGGGCAACAACACUGAGAAUGAGGAGGAAGGAGGGGAAGAAGAUGUAGAGGAAGAUGAAGAGGUAGAUGAAGAUGCAGAAGA